UGAAUUGCGUACGGCUCAUUAGAGCAGAUAUCACCUUAUCCGGGAUCCUCAUAUGGAUAACUGCGGAAAUACUGGAGCUAAUACAUGCAACUAUACCCCAACGCAAGGCGGGGUGCAAUUAUUAGAACAGACCAAACGUUUUCGGACGUUGUUUGUUGACUCUGAAUAAAGCAGUUUACUGUCAGUUUCGACUGACUCUAUCCGGAAAGGGUGUCUGCCCUUUCAACUAGAUGGUAGUUUAUUGGACUACCAUGGUUGUUACGGGUAACGGAGAAUAAGGGUUCGACUCCGGAGAGGGAGCCUUAGAAACGGCUACCACGUCCAAGGAAGGCAGCAGGCGCGAAACUUAUCCACUGUUGAGUAUGAGAUAGUGACUAAAAAUAUAAAGACUCAUCCUUUUGGAUGAGUUAUUUCAAUGAGUUGAAUACAAAUGAUUCUUCGAGUAGCAAGGAGAGGGCAAGUCUGGUGCCAGCAGCCGCGGUAAUUCCAGCUCUCCUAGUGUAUCUCGUUAUUGCUGCGGUUAAAAAG
RNAcentral lists this ribosomal RNA (528 nucleotides) under unidentified nematode Sourhope farm. RNAcentral's name for it is "SSU rRNA". It matches the Rfam family "Eukaryotic small subunit ribosomal RNA", at positions 83 to 626 of the family's 1831-position model. The record is from RNAcentral. Lineage: Eukaryota; Metazoa; Nematoda.